GUAAGUUCGCGCAAAGACAAGU
Molecule: microRNA, 22 nt
Filed under: Panagrellus redivivus
Lineage: Eukaryota; Metazoa; Nematoda; Chromadorea; Rhabditida; Panagrolaimidae
Description: prd-miR-7947-5p
Source: miRBase by way of RNAcentral